GCCUCUGUAGUUCAGUGGUUAGACACUGGUCUAGUAAACCAAGGGUAUAGAGUUCAAUCCUCUGCAGAGGCC
Molecule: transfer RNA, 72 nt
Filed under: Prochlorococcus sp.
Lineage: Bacteria; Bacillati; Cyanobacteriota; Cyanophyceae; Synechococcales; Prochlorococcaceae
Description: tRNA-Thr
Rfam family: tRNA
About the family: Transfer RNA (tRNA) molecules are approximately 80 nucleotides in length. Their secondary structure includes four short double-helical elements and three loops (D, anti-codon, and T loops).
Source: RNAcentral